AGGAUGAAACCAUGUCAGUAUAAGGUUUAUAAAGUCAAAGUGCUGUUCUAAAUGCAGCACCCAGUCCAUAUGUUAUUACCUUUAUCUCAUGCUGAAUGUAGGUAGCUUUUCUUUUCCCUGCUUUCUGAGUGGGUGUGUGAUGGACAGAGUUUAGAAAAAUUGGAAAGCAAAAUUCUCACCUGGCCCUGCACACUGAAACAAGAAUAAAAGAGGAAUCCUGGUAAAUGUCAAAUCCCACACACUCUGCCCUUGAGUCCUUCGAAGCCAAAUGAUCAAGGCUGAAAUGAAUUGCAUGAAAGGAAGGAAGUGGAAUUAAAACCUGCUCCACCUUGCAAAGGGACACUUACAGCUUAAAUUCUGGUCAAGGUGAGGGACAGAAAGGAGUUAUAACAGAAUUACAAACUCUUCUUGGGCAUUUAGGGGAGAUAGCACCCUACAUAACAGAGCUAAAUGGAAAGGCCAAACCUGACUCUGAACAUGUGCAGUUAGUCAGGGUCAUAGUAACAGUGGUCACAGCCGGCAGAGAACACAUCCAUUGUUGCGUGGUUCUGCGCUGCCUGCAGCUGCCCUUGGCAGGUCCCAGCACGGCUGUGAGUGUUCAACUGGUGAGUUGAGAGCCAAAUGCCAUACUGAGAAGACAUCUGGGUGUCCGCAGGGAGGAGGACGACAUAAUCCCUGCUGAAAAGUGCCUGCAAUCAAAUUUGAGAUUUGAUAGUGAAGGAUGUCAAGACAAAAUCCUGAAUAGAUGUAGGCUGAGCAGUAGUUUUAUUAGCAAAACAGACUGCAUGCUCAUCAAAGCUGCCUUUCUUUAGGGGUGAAUAGGACUGCUUCAGGACUCUCUUUUUCUCCUUGUCUUGAUAUUACUAAAGUAGGAGGGGCAGCAAGAUUCCAGAGGACUGGAGAAUGCCACGAAAAUUGUGCUUGGAAGGGAUAGUCAGUAUCAUAUUAAGGUGUAAUUAAUUACUGGAUUACCAGACCAUCACAGACAUAAUACUGAAGAGAGAAUAGGAAAAGCAAGAAGGAUCACUUGAGAAGAAUAUGUGCAAUGCAUAGUGCAUUACUCUCCUUUACUUGAUUUAAGAGAGGUGCUACUGAGCAUAUUGAGGCCAGAGGCUGGCUUAGAGGACAUAGCUGCUGAUGUAAAAAGUCAACGUGUCAAGUUACACUACUAAGUGGAGCUGAUUUUAUGGUGGGCUUUUCACACAGGUGAGAUUACCUAGUUUUUAAUUACUGCAGACAGAAUGUCUUAACAUGGAUUCACUGGAGGACAUAUCAGUUGUCAUUUUGUUGGUUUCAGUACGUGCUCUGAGGUCUGUGAAACAUGCAUUGUAAAUCUUAUCCUAUGUGAAUAUCCUUGGUUAUUGAUUCUUCUGUGAGCUUGGCAGCCCUGUCAAUAAAGAAAAAAAAAAGAAUUAAAAUAAAAUCAGUGUCCUUGCCUUAUGCGGUAACCCAAACAGUUAUUGGGAAAGAAUCCACUACAGGCACGGUAGCAUGGUUAAUUAAAGCAGUAACAAGUAACAUCAUUAGUAUACUAAUUCAGUAGUGUGUAGAUGUUGUGUCCAUGUACAUCAGUGGCACAUUGCAAUUGUUGUGCUUCUGUUGCUUGGUUUAUAUUCUUCUGGAAUUAUGUGCAAACUGUGGUAUAAGUAGGAAUGCUAAACCAGUCAGUCAAUACCUAAAUUAAAAGCCAUAUAAUUUUUAGGGAAGCCUUUUUAUAGUGUCAGAAAGAGCACGAUAUUAUCAGGUUAUUUGGGCAGUAGAAACCCGAGGAAGCUAUUCUGAGAUGGCUCAGGUAUGCGUCCAGAUUUCUGUCAAUGAGCCAUUGAGAUCCAUAACAAGGCAGCGGAUUUUGAAAACUUUGUGGUUUUCAGUUGUUUUUCUGAUUUGUGUUGUUUUGCCCACCCAUCAUUCAGAUUUUAUUAGUUAAUUGGAUGUACGAGGUACUGCACAGAGCGACAGAAUGAUGCUGAACCUCUGCUCCAGUCUCUUUCCUAAUUUGUAUGAAGCAAGAUUGUCCCAGUGUUUCUUCUUACAGGUUGUAGAAAAAAAGAAAAACAAAAAACCUACGGUGCUGACUGAGAAACAUGACACUCCUUUUUCAACACUAUUAAGAACUGCUAUAAUUAAAAUUUCAACGCCUCACCCGCUAGUGUAAAUAAAAUAUCAUUCACUGUGUCUAACACUAAGUAUGUUUAAGAGAAGAAUUUGAACCGUAGUGUGUACAUUAAAUAACAAGGAGCAAAAUGUGUCCUCAUAUGCAUACACUGACUGUGCUGAAAGACUCACAACCAAAUAAGAAUAAAUUUUGGCCCCUGUUAAAUGACAGUAGAACUUAAGACACCACCUGCAAGAAUUCAAAGUUGUGCAAUCAGUAAAUUGCUAUAUCACUUGGGUUUGGAAAAACAAACCAUCAAGACUGUAGUUUUGUGCUUGCAAUCCAUGAUUUAAUAAGCAUUUUGUCACUCAGGACAGUAUCAUCAUGGUUCAUAAAAGUAAAGUAUUGACACUGCAAACCUAGUGUGAGCUCACCUUACUGCUUCAAGAAUAUUAUAUUAUUUGUGUGCUUAUGGAAGGAAAUGAACUUUUGGAUUUUCUCAAGAAAACGUUGGAAAAAUAUCAAUUAAAGCAAAAGCCUAAGUGCAUUGGCACUGUACCUUUCAGGACUGAGACUGACUUAGGAGUUCUGCCGAUCUGCAAAUAGAGAAGAGACCAGAGCCUCUUGGAGAGGCCAAUCUGAAGAUCACCAAACUCACAAAAACUAUAUCAUCCAUGCCAAUGAAAACUGACAGAGUAGCACCUUUAUUGAAUCUUUAUUUUAGGUUUCUCAGAGGUGUUAUCCAUCUCCAUACACCUCAUAGUCUAUUCUCAGAACUGGCCCUCUGAGUCCUGAUAUCUUGCAUACGAAUACAGGGACAUGCAAGAGCCACCAUUGCCCUGGUCAGACGUUUGCCCCAUGUUUUCUUUUCAUCAAAAAGCAAAAGCUGAGAACCCUUUUCAUAUUCACUUCUCUUCAGAGGAUCUCUGCUACGUGGAAAUUCUUGCUACUUCCUUCCCAGAGAAGAAGGCAUUACUGCUGAUUACUUCUUACUAGCGAAGGAAACUGGAUUGGGCAGCUCCAUAAGGAGAAAACAUAUUUCCCAGCUGUUCUUUAUGUAUUUUCCACUGGAAAGCCUCCAGUGUUUGGGAUUGACCCUUCAUGUCAUUAAAAUGUUUGUGAUGAAACCAAACAGUGUUAAGCAAAAUUUUUACAAGGUAUUUGCCCAAGUUUUCUACUUAUUUUGGUUACGAUUCAGAGGUCACCUUCUGGAGUCAAAGCGCACAGCUGUGGCAGGACAGCAGGGGGAGAUAGUGCUCAAAGGAGGAAAAAAAGGCACAGUCUUCCUCCACCAGUAACAACCCAGCGAAUAAUGUUCCGACCAGUACCGGUCCUCCGUUAGAAAGAAAUAAUAAUUUCGUUUAAAUGGGUUUGCUCUCCUGUGGAUGGACAGUGGCAUGGGUAAGUGGUAGUGUGCUGCCUCCCUGCACUUCUCCAUCAGCCAACAGCGGCAGCGGACUCCCGAGACAGGCCUCCCUAUCUUUGCUGGUUGUCCUGGCAGUGAGCCAGUCGCCUUGUUGGUGAUUCCUCUCAGGUAGUGACCUUGCUGGGUUACAGAAGCAUGCUGUACUGACUUUAUUAAGGCCUGCCCUUUAUUGAGAGUGUGUUUAGUGCAUGUGUUGGGUCUCUAAUUAAAAUGCUAAAAUAUGGUUCCAGGAGAAAGUUUAACAGAUUAUUAUCUUUCCUGCACAGAAGGAAGAGAGUGCUAGGACAUAUCUGUUUAAAGAGUCUGUGGAAACGACAUUUUGAUGUUCCAUAUUUAUAGUAUUUUCCACCAGCGACUUAUAUAUUAAAGGCUAUAUUAUACCACCCCUAUCCCAGAAAGAGAUCUGAGAAUGGACCUGAGUCACAACCAUUCUCUCAGGCCACCUAGUCUUCUCCUUCCCCUUCUUGCUGUGGCUGGGAUGCCAUUUUGAUCAGCAUAACAUCAAAGCCUUUUUCUUCCAUUCUGACAUAUUUCUCUGGUGCAGUGCAGCUCUUAGCUUCUGCUUUUCAGAUAAGCCAGAGCAGGAUCAAUAAUACCUCAACUGAAACCCAAGCCCUAGUUAUAACUCACCUGUCCCAAUAAAAACAGGGUGUGUUACUAACGACAUGAGAGGAUCACCUCCUGCUCCCUCCCACCACAGCAUCUGACAACAUUGGGAGUAAUUAGGUCUUGGGUUUGUCAGCAGAACAAAUUUGUGUCUCUCUGCAGAAGGUAGUCUGUUUUGCUUUGUACCUUUCUAGCUUCCUUAUGGAGAUUUUUGGAAAAAAAUAAAAUCAAAGAGCUCCUAUAAGUUUUAAUCUAAGUGCAACUACAUGCUGCCAGUAGUUACAACUGACUGGUCAGGGAGGGGUUGUGGAAGAGUUAUUGAUGGUGUAAAAUGUCCGGUUGUUUUUCUGAAGCUGUCUGUGUUGGUGGCAGCUCUAAUGACAUCUAUCUGG
Molecule: long non-coding RNA, 4519 nt
Organism: Columba livia (rock pigeon)
Lineage: Eukaryota; Metazoa; Chordata; Aves; Columbiformes; Columbidae
Exons: 4
Source: RefSeq, a predicted model, not a curated record